CGGCACUGCCAAGUGUCUCCUUGGUCUUCUCCAUGAUUUCGGAGUCUCAUUCCAGUGCUAGAGUAACUCCCUUCUUGCAGAAAGGCCAGGAUCUGCUGUGACCUGCCUUUUCCGAAAGCUGGGUACAAAG
This 130-nucleotide small nucleolar RNA is filed under the name Leptobrachium leishanense (Leishan spiny toad). The record is from RNAcentral. Lineage: Eukaryota; Metazoa; Chordata; Amphibia; Anura; Megophryidae.